UGGGGGGGGUUAACCAUGCAAGUUCGAGCGGUACAGGAAUUAGCUUGCUAAUUUGCUGACGAGCGGCGGACCCGUUCGAUUAACGCGUAGGAAUCUGCCUGGUAGUGGGGGACAACAUGUGGAAACGCAUGCUAAUACCGCAUACGCCCUACGGGGGAAAGGAGGGGAUCUUCGGACCUUUCGCUAUCAGAUGAGCCUGCGUGAGAUUAGCUAGUUGGUGGGGUAAAGGCUCACCAAGGCGACGAUCUCUAGCUGGUCUGAGAGGAUGAUCAGCCACACUGGGACUGAGACACGGCCUAGACUCCUACGGGAGGCAGCAGUGGGGAAUAUUGGACAAUGGGCGCAAGCCUGAUCCAGCCAUGCCGCGUGUGUGAAGAAGGCCUUCGGGUUGUAAAGCACUUUCAGAGGUGAGGAAGGGUGCGUAGUUAAUACCUGCGUACUUUGACGUUAACCUCAGAAGAAGCACCGGCUAACUCUGUGCCAGCAGCCGCGGUAAUACAGAGGGUGCGAGCGUUAAUCGGAAUUACUGGGCGUAAAGCGCGCGUAGGCGGUUUGUUAAGUCGGAUGUGAAAUCCCCAGGGCUCAACCUUGGAAUUGCACCCCGAUACUGGGCAGGCUAGAGUACGGGUAGAGGGGGUGUGGAAUUUUCCUGUGUAGCCGGUGAAAUGCGUAAAUAUAGGAAGGAACCUCCGUUGGCGAAAGCGAAACCCCCUGGACCGAAAC
RNAcentral lists this ribosomal RNA (723 nucleotides) under uncultured Marinomonas sp. RNAcentral's name for it is "bacterial SSU rRNA". It matches the Rfam family "Bacterial small subunit ribosomal RNA", at positions 40 to 740 of the family's 1533-position model. The record is from RNAcentral. Lineage: Bacteria; Pseudomonadati; Pseudomonadota; Gammaproteobacteria; Oceanospirillales; Oceanospirillaceae.